RNAcentral lists this ribosomal RNA (437 nucleotides) under uncultured bacterium. RNAcentral describes it as "bacterial SSU rRNA". It matches the Rfam family "Bacterial small subunit ribosomal RNA", at positions 43 to 524 of the family's 1533-position model. The record is from RNAcentral.
CAGGCCUAACACAUGCAAGUCGAACGAUUGCCUUCGGGUGAUAGUGGCGCACGGGUGCGUAACGCGUGGGAAUCUGCCCCUUGGUUCGGGAUAACCGUUGGAAACGACGGCUAAUACCGGAUGAUGACGUAAGUCCAAAGAUUUAUCGCCCAGGGAUGAGCCCGCGUAGGAUUAGCUAGUUGGUGGGGUAAAGGCCUACCAAGGCGACGAUCCUUAGCUGGUCUGAGAGGAUGAUCAGCCACACUGGGACUGAGACACGGCCCAGACUCCUACGGGAGGCAGCAGUGGGGAAUAUUGGACAAUGGGCGCAAGCCUGAUCCAGCAAUGCCGCGUGAGUGAUGAAGGCCUUAGGGUUGUAAAGCUCUUUUACCCGGGAUGAUAAUGACAGUACCGGGAGAAUAAGCUCCGGCUAACUCCGUGCCAGCAGCCGCGGUAAU